RNAcentral lists this ribosomal RNA (426 nucleotides) under uncultured bacterium. Its description in RNAcentral is "bacterial SSU rRNA". It matches the Rfam family "Bacterial small subunit ribosomal RNA", at positions 354 to 796 of the family's 1533-position model. The record is from RNAcentral.
GUAGGGAAUAUUGCGCAAUGGGGGAAACCCUGACGCAGCAACGCCGCGUGGAGGAUGACACUUUUCGGAGCGUAAACUCCUUUUCUUAGGGAAGAAUUCUGACGGUACCUAAGGAAUAAGCACCGGCUAACUCCGUGCCAGCAGCCGCGGUAAUACGGAGGGUGCAAGCGUUACUCGGAAUCACUGGGCGUAAAGGGCGCGUAGGCGGAUUAUCAAGUCUCUUGUGAAAUCUAAUGGCUUAACCAUUAAACUGCUUGGGAAACUGAUAGUCUAGAGUGAGGGAGAGGCAGAUGGAAUUGGUGGUGUAGGGGUAAAAUCCGUAGAUAUCACCAAGAAUACCCAUUGCGAAGGCGAUCUGCUGGAACUCAACUGACGCUAAGGCGCGAAAGCGUGGGGAGCAAACAGGAUUAGAAACCCUAGUAGUCC